GGGGUUGUGGCUCAGUGGUAGAGCACUCACCUGUCACGUGCAAGGCCCUGGGUUUGAUCCUCAGCACCA
RNAcentral lists this transfer RNA (69 nucleotides) under Ictidomys tridecemlineatus (thirteen-lined ground squirrel). Its description in RNAcentral is "Spermophilus tridecemlineatus (thirteen-lined ground squirrel) tRNA". It matches the Rfam family "tRNA". Rfam says of the family: Transfer RNA (tRNA) molecules are approximately 80 nucleotides in length. Their secondary structure includes four short double-helical elements and three loops (D, anti-codon, and T loops). The record is from Rfam by way of RNAcentral. Lineage: Eukaryota; Metazoa; Chordata; Mammalia; Rodentia; Sciuridae.